RNAcentral lists this ribosomal RNA (253 nucleotides) under uncultured bacterium. Its description in RNAcentral is "partial 16S ribosomal RNA". It matches the Rfam family "Bacterial small subunit ribosomal RNA", at positions 524 to 776 of the family's 1533-position model. The record is from RNAcentral.
UACGUAGGUGGCAAGCGUUGUCCGGAAUUAUUGGGCGUAAAGCGCGCGCAGGCGGCUUCUUAAGUCUGAUGUGAAAUCUCGGGGCUCAACCCCGAGCGGCCAUUGGAAACUGGGAAGCUUGAGUGCAGAAGAGGAGAGUGGAAUUCCACGUGUAGCGGUGAAAUGCGUAGAUAUGUGGAGGAACACCAGUGGCGAAGGCGACUCUCUGGUCUGUAACUGACGCUGAGGAGCGAAAGCAUGGGGAGCAAACAGG